AUCGCUCAACGGAUAAAAGGUACUCCGGGGAUAACAGGCUGAUACCGCCCAAGAGUUCAUAUCGACGGCGGUGUUUGGCACCUCGAUGUCGGCUCAUCACAUCCUGGGGCUGAAGUAGGUCCCAAGGGUAUGGCUGUUCGCCAUUUAAAGUGGUACGCGAGCUGGGUUUAGAACGUCGUGAGACAGUUCGGUCCCUAUCUGCCGUGGGCGCUGGAGAACUGAGGGGGGCUGCUCCUAGUACGAGAGGACCGGAGUGGACGCAUCACUGGUGUUCGGGUUGUCAUGCCAAUGGCACUGCCCGGUAGCUAAAUGCGGAAGAGAUAAGUGCUGAAAGCAUCUAAGCACGAAACUUGCCCCGAGAUGAGUUCUCCCUGAGACUUUAGGUCUCCUGAAGGAACGUUGAAGACGACGACGUUGAUAGGCCGGGUGUGUAAGCGCAGCGAUGCGUUGAGCUAACCGGUACUAAUGAACCGUGAGGCUUAACCUU
RNAcentral lists this ribosomal RNA (487 nucleotides) under Salmonella enterica. RNAcentral describes it as "partial 23S ribosomal RNA". It matches the Rfam family "Bacterial large subunit ribosomal RNA", at positions 2444 to 2925 of the family's 2925-position model. The record is from RNAcentral. Lineage: Bacteria; Pseudomonadati; Pseudomonadota; Gammaproteobacteria; Enterobacterales; Enterobacteriaceae.